This 225-nucleotide ribosomal RNA is filed under the name uncultured bacterium. RNAcentral's name for it is "partial 16S ribosomal RNA". It matches the Rfam family "Bacterial small subunit ribosomal RNA", at positions 91 to 334 of the family's 1533-position model. The record is from RNAcentral.
CUUAGUGGCGGACGGGUGAGUAACGCGUGAGAAUCUGCCUUCAGGACGGAGACAACAGUUGGAAACGACUGCUAAGCCCCGAUGUACCGAAAGGGAAAAUAUUUAUAGCCUGAAGAUGAGCUCGCGUCCGAUUAGCUAGUUGGCGGAGUAAAAGCCCACCGAGGCGACGAUCGGUAGCUGGUCUGAGAGGACGAUCAGCCACACUGGGACUGAGACACGGCCCAG